RNAcentral lists this ribosomal RNA (301 nucleotides) under uncultured bacterium. RNAcentral's name for it is "partial 16S ribosomal RNA". It matches the Rfam family "Bacterial small subunit ribosomal RNA", at positions 509 to 809 of the family's 1533-position model. The record is from RNAcentral.
CAGUCGCCACGGGAAUACGUAGGUGGCAAGCGUUGUCCGGAAUGAUUGGGCGUAAAGGGCGCGCAGGCGGCUGUGUAAGUCUGCCUAGAAAGUGCGGGGCUAAACCCCGUGAGAGGAUGGAAACUGAACAGCUGAGAGUGUCGGAGAGGAAAGCGGAAUUCCUAGUGUAGCGGUGAAAUGCGUAGAUAUUGGGAGGAACACCAGUGGCGAAGGCGGCUUUCUGGACUGCAACUGACGCUGAGGCUCGAAAGCCAGGGGAGCGAACGGGAUUAGAUACCCCCGUAGUCCCUGUCUCUUAUAA